GGGGGCGAUUGGCGUCGACAGGGUAGAGGCGCGCUCAGGCUGCGAGCCGAGGUGCCGUUGGCCUCGUAAAAAAGCGGCAAAAAAAUAAGAGCGACUCCUCAGUACGCUCUCGCUGCCUAAUUAAGUAGGCAGCCGUCCUGCCGCCUCCUGCCGGCCGAGGCGGAUGUGGGCGUGUGCUAUGCCGGCUAGCCUGAACGGAAACGUUCACCGCCGUUUGGGCGAAAGCGCAGGGUGAACU
RNAcentral lists this transfer-messenger RNA (238 nucleotides) under Armatimonadota bacterium. RNAcentral describes it as "Armatimonadetes bacterium (sediment metagenome) partial transfer-messenger RNA". It matches the Rfam family "transfer-messenger RNA", at positions 1 to 252 of the family's 374-position model. From Rfam's summary of the family: Bacterial tmRNA, also known as 10Sa RNA or SsrA, is named for its dual tRNA and mRNA-like properties. Its role is to liberate the mRNA from a stalled ribosome. To accomplish this part of the tmRNA is used as a reading frame that ends in a translation stop signal. Lineage: Bacteria; Bacillati; Armatimonadota. The record is from RNAcentral.